GUGGGGAAUCUUCCGCAAUGGACGAAAGUCUGACGGAGCGAUGCCGCGUGAGUGAAGAAGGCCUUCGGGUCGUAAAGCUCUGUCAUCAGGGACGAACGGCCGGUGGAGUGGAAAGCCACCGGAUUGACGGUACCUGAGAAGGAAGCCACGGCUAACUACGUGCCAGCAGCCGCGGUAAUACGUAGGUGGCAAGCGUUGUCCGGAAUUAUUGGGCGUAAAGCGCGCGCAGGUGGGAUCUUAAGUCCAUUUUGAAAGUUCGGAGCUCAACUCCGUGAUGGGAUGGAAACUGGGAUUCUUGAGUACCGGAGAGGAAAGCGGAAUUCCCCGUGUAGCGGUGAAAUGCGUAGAUAUGGGGAGGAACACCAGUGGCGAAGGCGGCUUUCUGGACGGUGUCUGACACUGAGGCGCGAAAGCUAGGGGAGCGAACGGGAUUAGAUACCCUAGUAGUCC
RNAcentral lists this ribosomal RNA (450 nucleotides) under uncultured bacterium. Its description in RNAcentral is "partial 16S ribosomal RNA". It matches the Rfam family "Bacterial small subunit ribosomal RNA", at positions 354 to 796 of the family's 1533-position model. The record is from RNAcentral.